This 483-nucleotide ribosomal RNA is filed under the name uncultured bacterium. RNAcentral's name for it is "partial 16S ribosomal RNA". It matches the Rfam family "Bacterial small subunit ribosomal RNA", at positions 29 to 506 of the family's 1533-position model. The record is from RNAcentral.
AUUGAACGCUGGCGGCAUGCUUUACACAUGCAAGUCGAACGGCAGCGCGGGCUUCGGCCUGGCGGCGAGUGGCGAACGGGUGGGUAAUACAUCGGAACGUGCCCAGUAGUGGGGGAUAGCUCGGCGAAAGCCGGAUUAAUACCGCAUACGACCUGAGGGUGAAAGCGGGGGAUCUUCGGACCUCGCGCUAUUGGAGCGGCCGAUGGCAGAUUAGCUAGUUGGUGGGGUAAAGGCCUACCAAGGCGACGAUCUGUAGCUGGUCUGAGAGGACGACCAGCCACACUGGGACUGAGACACGGCCCAGACUCCUACGGGAGGCAGCAGUGGGGAAUUUUGGACAAUGGGCGAAAGCCUGAUCCAGCAAUGCCGCGUGUGUGAUGAAGGCCUUCGGGUUGUAAAGCACUUUUGGCGGGAACGAAAAGGACUGUGCCAAUACCACGGUUCGAUGACGGUACCCGCAGAAUAAGCACCGGCUAACUACGU